CUACGGGUGGCAGCAGUGGGGAAUAUUGCACAAUGGAGGAAACUUUGAUGCAGCAACGCCGCGUGGAGGAUGACACUUUUCGGAGCGUAAACUCCUUCUAUAUAGGAAGAAGAUGACGGUACUAUAUGAAUAAGCGCCGGCUAACUCCGUGCCAGCAGCCGCGGUAAUACGGAGGGCGCAAGCGUUACUCGGAAUCACUGGGCGUAAAGAGCGUGUAGGCGGAUUAAAAAGUCAGAAGUGAAAUCCUAUAGCUUAACUAUAGAACUGCUUCUGAAACUCUUAAUCUAGAAUAUGGGAGAGGUAGAUGGAAUUUCUGGUGUAGGGGUAAAGUCCGUAGAGAUCAGAAGGAAUACCGAUUGCGAAGGCGAUCUACUAGAACAUUAUUGACGCUGAGACGCGAAAGCGUGGGGAGCAAACAGGAUUAGAUACCCCAGUAGUC
This 439-nucleotide ribosomal RNA is filed under the name uncultured bacterium. Its description in RNAcentral is "partial 16S ribosomal RNA". It matches the Rfam family "Bacterial small subunit ribosomal RNA", at positions 339 to 795 of the family's 1533-position model. The record is from RNAcentral.